GGAGGGUUGGCAGAGCGGUAAUGCAGCAGAUUGCUAAUCUGUGACCGGAAUCUUCGGUCCAGAGGUUCGAAUCCUCUACCCUCCGCCA
This 88-nucleotide transfer RNA is filed under the name Alphaproteobacteria bacterium. RNAcentral describes it as "tRNA-Ser". It matches the Rfam family "tRNA". From Rfam's summary of the family: Transfer RNA (tRNA) molecules are approximately 80 nucleotides in length. Their secondary structure includes four short double-helical elements and three loops (D, anti-codon, and T loops). Lineage: Bacteria; Pseudomonadati; Pseudomonadota; Alphaproteobacteria. The record is from RNAcentral.